CCGAUAUUUUACCGCAUUAAUUGCAUAGGUGAUUUUUGAUUUAUAGCAAUGGAGGUCUUGGGUUUCUUAAAAUCUUUUGAUUAUUUGUGGGAUUCGAUUAUGGUGAUGAUUGAUUUUGGGUCUCUAGUUUUGUUGAUGAUGAAUUUCUGAGUUUGAAGGAUUAUGAUGAAGCAAAUGGCUCUAGUGAUAAGUAAUUUUGGUGAAGAUCGUUCCAAUGAUAAGCUAUUUAGGCUAAGAUGGUUGUGGGAGCAUUUUAGUCAUAAUUCCAAUGACGAAUGUAACUCUAUAUUAAAUUAAGGAUUUGAGAAGAAUACUUUCUGAUACCAAUUACAUCUUUGCUCUGUUCCCGAGUUUGUGUUCCCGAGUUUACUAAUGGGAAGAAGUGAAAGGAAGUGGAAAGAAAGUGAAAAAUAUGUGUUCUUGAGUUUCAUUAACGGAUGGAAGUGGAAGAAAAAUCUUAUGUUAUAACUCUCCUUCCGAAAUGGAAGAAAGGGAAAGGAUGACAAUUAAAAGUCUUUACAGUUUACUAUCAUAAAACCCAACAAAGGUUAUAAUCGUAGAAUUAUUCAUUCAUUUUUCUCUUACUUUCAACUCGGGAACACGUAAGAACUUUACUUUAUUUACUUCCCAUCCCUUUCCUUUCUCUCAGGAAUUCUCCCUUUUCUUUUCUUUCCUUUUCUUUAGCAAACUCGACAAUAGAUUAAGGAGAGUAAAAAAGGAAGUGA
This 725-nucleotide long non-coding RNA is filed under the name Helianthus annuus (common sunflower). RNAcentral's name for it is "hypothetical non coding rna". The record is from RNAcentral. Lineage: Eukaryota; Viridiplantae; Streptophyta; Magnoliopsida; Asterales; Asteraceae.